AAGUCGUAACAAGGUUUCCGUAGGUGAACCUGCGGAAGGAUCAUUACCGAGUUUUCGGGCUUCGGCUCGACUCUCCCACCCUUUGUGAACGUACCUCUGUUGCUUUGGCGGCUCCGGCCGCCAAAGGACCUCCAAACUCCAGUCAGUAAACGCAGACGUCUGAUAAACAAGUUAAUAAACUAGAACUUUCAACAACGGAUCUCUUGGUUCUGGCAUCGAUGAAGAACGCAGCGAAAUGCGAUAAGUAAUGUGAAUUGCAGAAUUCAGUGAAUCAUCGAAUCUUUGAACGCACAUUGCGCCCCUUGGUAUUCCGGGGGGCAUGCCUGUUCGAGCGUCAUUACAACCCUCAAGCUCUGCUUGGAAUUGGGCACCGUCCUCACUGCGGACGCGCCUCAAAGACCUCGGCGGUGGCUGUUCAGCCCUCAAGCGUAGUAGAAUACACCUCGCUUUGGAGUGGUUGGCGUCGCCCGCCGGACGAACCUUCUGAACUUUUCUCAAGGCUGACCUCGGAUCAGGUAGGGAUACCCGCUGAACUUAA
This 538-nucleotide ribosomal RNA is filed under the name Lasiodiplodia theobromae. RNAcentral describes it as "eukaryotic LSU rRNA". The stretch from base 184 to 337 matches the Rfam family "5.8S ribosomal RNA". Lineage: Eukaryota; Fungi; Ascomycota; Dothideomycetes; Botryosphaeriales; Botryosphaeriaceae. The record is from RNAcentral.